RNAcentral lists this long non-coding RNA (257 nucleotides) under Jatropha curcas. Its description in RNAcentral is "long non-coding RNA (JCUR_LNC002712)". The record is from RNAcentral. Lineage: Eukaryota; Viridiplantae; Streptophyta; Magnoliopsida; Malpighiales; Euphorbiaceae.
CCCAAAUUCACAACCUUUCACUCUCUCUCCUCCAACCUUUCGCCACCAUUUUCUCUGAGAUUUUCCCUUACUUUCGCGGAAAAUACUAGAAAGAAUUCCACCUCUCUUAGGCAAACUUCCUCAUUCUCUCACAUUCCUUUAAGAGUAUCUGCAAAUUCCCAAGCAGCACCUGCUUCAGCCCAAGCAACCAAAGUUUCCUUUGUACCUUCUGAAAUGAAGGCCUGGGUAUAUGGAGAAUAUGGAGGUGUUGAUGUUUU